Molecule: ribosomal RNA, 267 nt
Filed under: uncultured bacterium
Lineage: Bacteria
Description: partial 16S ribosomal RNA
Rfam family: Bacterial small subunit ribosomal RNA
Source: RNAcentral
GACAGAGGUGGCAAGCGUUGUUCGGAUUCAUUGGGUGUAAAGGGCAGGUAGGUGGUCUUGUAAGUCUGGUGUGAAAUCCCAGGGCUCAACCCUGGAACUGCAUUGGAAGCUGCAAGACUUGAAUACCGGAGAGGUGAGGGAAGUUCUCGGUGUAAGGGUGAAAUACUGUAGAUAUCGAGAGGAACACCAGUGGCGAAGGCGCCUCACUGGCCGGUUAUUGACACUGAGCUGCGAAAGCAAGGGGAGCAAACAGGAUUAGAUACCCCU